GAGUUGAUAGCUCAGCUGGUAGAGCACUCGGCUUUUAACCGAUCUGUCCUGGGUUCGAAUCCCAGUCGACUCA
This 73-nucleotide transfer RNA is filed under the name Euglena mutabilis. RNAcentral describes it as "tRNA-Lys". It matches the Rfam family "tRNA". Rfam says of the family: Transfer RNA (tRNA) molecules are approximately 80 nucleotides in length. Their secondary structure includes four short double-helical elements and three loops (D, anti-codon, and T loops). The record is from RNAcentral. Lineage: Eukaryota; Euglenozoa; Euglenophyceae; Euglenales; Euglenaceae.